This 495-nucleotide ribosomal RNA is filed under the name uncultured bacterium. Its description in RNAcentral is "partial 16S ribosomal RNA". It matches the Rfam family "Bacterial small subunit ribosomal RNA", at positions 28 to 507 of the family's 1533-position model. The record is from RNAcentral.
GACGAACGCUGGCGGCGUGCCUAAUACAUGCAAGUAGAACGCUGAAGGAGGAGCUUGCUUCUCUGGAUGAGUUGCGAACGGGUGAGUAACGCGUAGGUAACCUGCCUGUUAGCGGGGGAUAACUAUUGGAAACGAUAGCUAAUACCGCAUAAGAGUAGAUGUUGCAUGACAUUUGCUUAAAAGGUGCAAUUGCAUCACUACCAGAUGGACCUGCGUUGUAUUAGCUAGUUGGUGGGGUAACGGCUCACCAAGGCGACGAUACAUAGCCGACCUGAGAGGGUGAUCAGCCAGCCUGGGACUGAGACACGGCCCAGACUCCUACGGGAGGCAGCAGUAGGGAAUCUUCGGCAAUGGACGGAAGUCUGACCGAGCAACGCCGCGUGAGUGAAGAAGGUUUUCGGAUCGUAAAGCUCUGUUGUAAGAGAAGAACGAGUGUGAGAGUGGAAAGUUCACACUGUGACGGUAUCUUACCAGAAAGGGACGGCUAACUACGUG